GAUGAAGAACGUAGCGAAAUGCGAUAAGUAAUGUGAAUUGCAGAAUUCAGUGAAUCAUCGAAUCUUUGAACGCACAUUGCGCCCGCCAGUAUUCUGGCGGGCAUGCCUGUCUGAGCGUCAUUUCAACCCUCAUGCCCCUAGGGCGUGGUGUUGGGGAUCGGCCAAAGCCCGCGAGGGACGGCCGGCCCCUAAAUCUAGUGGCGGACCCGUCGUGGCCUCCUCUGCGAAGUAGUGAUAUUCCGCAUCGGAGAGCGACGAGCCCCUGCCGUUAAACCCCCAACUUUCCAAGGUUGACCUCAAAUCAGGUAGGACUACCCGCUGAACUUAAGCAUAUCAAUAAGCGGAGGA
This 348-nucleotide unclassified non-coding RNA is filed under the name soil metagenome. Its description in RNAcentral is "partial contains 5.8S ribosomal RNA, internal transcribed spacer 2, and large subunit ribosomal RNA". The stretch from base 1 to 120 matches the Rfam family "5.8S ribosomal RNA", at positions 35 to 154 of the family's 154-position model. The record is from RNAcentral.